GACACUCUAGAGAUGAACUCUUCUCCAGGCUUCGUGACUGUGGUACUCUUGAUGCUUGGACAAACCCACGGAGACUCAGUGACCCAGAUGGAAGGCCCAGUGACCCUCUUCGAAGGGGAGCCCCUGACUAUAAACUGUACUUAUUCAACAGCAGUGUCCCCCACUCUUUUCUGGUAUGUCCAGUAUCCCGGAGAAGGUCCACAGCUGCUCCUGAAAGCCUUUAGGGACAAGGAGAAGGGAAGUCACAAAGGUUUUGAAGCCACCUACGACGGAAAAUCCAAAUCCUUCCACUUGGAGAAGGCCUCAGUGCAAGCGUCAGAUUCGGCUGUGUACUACUGUGCCCUGCGUGACACAGUGACAGGGACUGCAGGGGGAGCUGAACACAAACUCUGAGCAGAACAGGGGCCCAGAUACUGAAUGUCUCUGAUCUUCUCUGGUUCCAGCACAGUGUAUGGUGGUUGCCCCUCAGUGUCUGCUUGAUACGCAAGUCAUACAAAUGGCUAGAGCAUGGGAACCAGAAGGAACACUCCCCAAACCCAGCUGUUCAUUAGUGCAAUAUAAAUGCAAUAGUUCCUAAGCCAGGACCUAAGUAAUUUCAAGGUGGAACCACAUAACAUUGAAGUGGUGUCUUGCUCACCCUGCAGUGAAAGUCCAGCCCCACAAGCUGCUGAGGCCCCCCCGGUGGGUAUUGCUGUGUCCAAUGACACACUGAGAGAGCCAGGGUGUGCCCGAGAAGGUGGUGUCCGCCCCAUGUCUUCCUGACAGAGGAUGGGCAGGAGAGGUGAAGGAAGAGCUGCAGCCCCAAACCAGGUUUGAAUAGAGAAAGAAGGGGCGGGAAGACAGGAGGGGAACAUGUGGAAGUGAGCAAUGAAAAGAGAGACAAGGGAUCUUUGUCCUGGUUUCUUUUCUAGUAAGACAGAUGGUAGACACAGGCUGAUAUUCAAAAUGAAGGGAGGGGGCAGACACAU
This is a non-coding RNA of Acinonyx jubatus (cheetah), 968 nucleotides long. The record is from the annotation of a RefSeq genome assembly. NCBI's taxonomy places the organism in Eukaryota, Metazoa, Chordata, Mammalia, Carnivora, Felidae.